GUUUGUACUUUUUCUAUCUAUUCUCGAAACACAUGAGUAGUCUAAAUCAAACCAGAAAAUUCGAAAACCAUGGUCAUAAAACCUUCUUAAUUUAUACAGUAUCGGCUUAUAAUCAACUUUUAUAUUAUCUUCAUUGGUAAGGCGAACAGAUAUUUGAUGAAUUUCAUCUACGAUGCGAGUCUUGAAUAAUUUGGUGAUAACUAAGUCUGUG
RNAcentral lists this long non-coding RNA (211 nucleotides) under Mytilus galloprovincialis (Mediterranean mussel). Lineage: Eukaryota; Metazoa; Mollusca; Bivalvia; Mytilida; Mytilidae. The record is from RNAcentral.